GGCUUCGUGGUUUAGUGGUAUAAUUCUCGCUUAGGGUCACACCCCGAGCACCGCAUGCGAGAGGUCCCGGGUUCGAUCCCCGGCGAAGCCC
RNAcentral lists this transfer RNA (91 nucleotides) under Claviceps purpurea (ergot fungus). Its description in RNAcentral is "tRNA-Pro". It matches the Rfam family "tRNA". Rfam says of the family: Transfer RNA (tRNA) molecules are approximately 80 nucleotides in length. Their secondary structure includes four short double-helical elements and three loops (D, anti-codon, and T loops). Further hydrogen bonds mediate the characteristic L-shaped molecular structure. tRNAs have two regions of fundamental functional importance: the anti-codon, which is responsible for specific mRNA codon recognition, and the 3' end, to which the tRNAs corresponding amino acid is attached (by aminoacyl-tRNA synthetases). tRNAs cope with the degeneracy of the genetic code in two manners: having more than one tRNA (with a specific anti-codon) for a particular amino acid; and 'wobble' base-pairing, i.e. permitting non-standard base-pairing at the 3rd anti-codon position. The record is from RNAcentral. RNAcentral also lists the same sequence under 3 other names. Lineage: Eukaryota; Fungi; Ascomycota; Sordariomycetes; Hypocreales; Clavicipitaceae.